RNAcentral lists this ribosomal RNA (484 nucleotides) under uncultured bacterium. RNAcentral describes it as "partial 16S ribosomal RNA". It matches the Rfam family "Bacterial small subunit ribosomal RNA", at positions 30 to 507 of the family's 1533-position model. The record is from RNAcentral.
AUUGAACGCUGGCGGCAGGCCUAACACAUGCAAGUCGAGCGGAUGAAGGGUGCUUGCUCCUGGAUUCAGCGGCGGACGGGUGUGUAAUGCCUAGGAAUCUGCCUGGUAGUGGGUGAUAACGUCCGUUAACGGGCGCUAAUACCGCAUACGUCCUGAGGGUGAAAGUGGGUGAUCUUCGGACCUCUCGCUCUCAGUUGAGCCUAGGUCGGAUUAGCUAGUUGGUGGGGUAAAUGCCUACCAAGGCGACGAUCCGUAACUGGUCUGAGAGGAUGAUCAGUGACACGGGAAGUGAGACACGGAACAGAGUACUACGGGAGGAAGCAGUGGGGAAUAAUGGACAAUGGGCGAAAGGAUGAUACAGCAAUGCCGAGUGUGUGAAGAAGGUCUUCGGAUUGUAAAGAACGUUAAGUGGGGAGGAAGGGAAGUAAGUUAAUACCUUGCUGUAUUGACGUGAACAAAAGAAGAAGCACCGGCUAACUACGUG